Molecule: ribosomal RNA, 435 nt
Filed under: uncultured Sphingobacteriales bacterium
Lineage: Bacteria; Pseudomonadati; Bacteroidota; Sphingobacteriia; Sphingobacteriales
Description: bacterial SSU rRNA
Rfam family: Bacterial small subunit ribosomal RNA
Source: RNAcentral
AAUUCGAUGAUACGCGAGGAACCUUACCUGGGCUCGAAACGUAAGAUGACUGUAGGUGAAAGCUUACAUCUCUUCGGAGCAUUUUACGAGGUGCUGCAUGGUUGUCGUCAGCUCGUGCCGUGAGGUGUCGGGUUAAGUCCCAUAACGAGCGCAACCCCUACCUUUAGUUGCCAUCAGGUUAAGCUGGGGACUCUAAAGGAACUGCCUACGCAAGUAGUGAGGAAGGCGGGGAUGACGUCAAAUCAGCACGGCCCUUACGUCCGGGGCUACACACGUGCUACAAUGGCCGAUACGGAGGGCAGCUACCUGGUGACAGGAUGCAAAUCUCCAAAGUCGGUCUCAGUUCGGAUCGGAGUCUGCAACCCGACUCCGUGAAGUUGGAUUCGCUAGUAAUCGCGCAUCAGCCAUGGCGCGGUGAAUACGUUCCCGGGCCUU